UACGUAGGUGGCGAGCGUUGUCCGGAAUUACUGGGUGUAAAGGGCGUGUAGGCGGGAAUGUAAGUCAGAUGUGAAAUGCCGAGGCUUAACCUCGGAGCUGCAUCUGAAACUGCGUUUCUUGAGUGUCGGAGAGGAAAGUGGAAUUCCCAGUGUAGCGGUGAAAUGCGUAGAUAUUGGGAGGAACACCAGUGGCGAAGGCGACUUUCUGGACGAUAACUGACGCUGAGGCGCGAAAGCGUGGGGAGCAAACAGG
Molecule: ribosomal RNA, 253 nt
Filed under: uncultured bacterium
Lineage: Bacteria
Description: partial 16S ribosomal RNA
Rfam family: Bacterial small subunit ribosomal RNA
Source: RNAcentral